This 372-nucleotide long non-coding RNA is filed under the name Hordeum vulgare. Its description in RNAcentral is "long non-coding RNA (HVUL_LNC011028)". Lineage: Eukaryota; Viridiplantae; Streptophyta; Magnoliopsida; Poales; Poaceae. The record is from RNAcentral.
UGUGACCUUCCUCCCCUGCCUCCUGGACAUGUCCGGCAACCACAGCUCCCCGCGUCCGGCGAUCACCUCGCAUGCGUCGUCUCUCGAGCGGCCGGCGCCUCGCUGUCGCCGGUAGCUGACCGGCCGGACUCAAUGAUACUCUUCCCCGACGCCUCGUCGUUGCCUCUCCUCGCAUGCUACCAUCACGUCGUGUUUCCUCUAUAUCAAGGACGAAGCGCCCGUGUCUGCAUCCUCUCCACGUGCCGAGCGCCUGCAGCAGCAGCAUACCCGAGAUCCUCCGCUCGCCAGACCUCGCGGGCCUCAGCUCUGGAUCCCUCGGAUCUCGUCAUCGCCCAUGUUCCCGUCUCCUGCUGCUAGCCUGCGUCGCCGCAC